CUUUUGUGGGGUGCUCGAGUGGCGAACGGGUGAGUAACACGUGAGUAACCUGCCCUUGACUUUGGGAUAACUUCAGGAAACUGGGGCUAAUACCGGAUAGGAGCUCCUGCUGCAUGGUGGGGGUUGGAAAGUUUCGGCGGUUGGGGAUGGACUCGCGGCUUAUCAGCUUGUUGGUGGGGUAGUGGCUUACCAAGGCUUUGACGGGUAGCCGGCCUGAGAGGGUGACCGGCCACAUUGGGACUGAGAUACGGCCCAA
RNAcentral lists this ribosomal RNA (256 nucleotides) under uncultured Actinomycetales bacterium. Its description in RNAcentral is "partial 16S ribosomal RNA". It matches the Rfam family "Bacterial small subunit ribosomal RNA", at positions 77 to 334 of the family's 1533-position model. The record is from RNAcentral. Lineage: Bacteria; Bacillati; Actinomycetota; Actinomycetes; Actinomycetales.